UGGGGAAUAUUGGACAAUGGGGGCAACCCUGAUCCAGCCAUGCCGCGUGUGUGAAGAAGGCCUUUUGGUUGUAAAGCACUUUAAGCAGUGAAGAAGACUCCAUGGUUAAUACCCAUGGACGAUGACAUUAGCUGCAGAAUAAGCACCGGCUAACUCUGUGCCAGCAGCCGCGGUAAUACAGAGGGUGCAAGCGUUAAUCGGAAUUACUGGGCGUAAAGCGAGCUUAGGUGGCUUGAUAAGUCAGAUGUGAAAGCCCCGGGCUUAACCUGGGAACGGCAUCUGAUACUGUUAGGCUAGAGUAGGUGAGAGGAAGGUAGAAUUCCAGGUGUAGCGGUGAAAUGCGUAGAGAUCUGGAGGAAUACCGAUGGCGAAGGCAGCCUUCUGGCAUCAUACUGACACUGAGGUUCGAAAGCGUGGGUAGCAAACA
This 427-nucleotide ribosomal RNA is filed under the name uncultured bacterium. Its description in RNAcentral is "partial 16S ribosomal RNA". It matches the Rfam family "Bacterial small subunit ribosomal RNA", at positions 355 to 774 of the family's 1533-position model. The record is from RNAcentral.